AUUGAACGCUGGCGGCAUGCCUUACACAUGCAAGUCGAACGGUAACGGGCCUUCGGGUGCCGACGAGUGGCGAACGGGUGAGUAAUACAUCGGAACGUGCCCGAUCGUGGGGGAUAACGAGGCGAAAGCUUUGCUAAUACCGCAUACGAUCUACGGAUGAAAGCAGGGGACCGCAAGGCCUUGCGCGGACGGAGCGGCCGAUGGCAGAUUAGGUAGUUGGUGGGAUAAAAGCUUACCAAGCCGACGAUCUGUAGCUGGUCUGAGAGGAUGAUCAGCCACACUGGGACUGAGACACGGCCCAGACUCCUACGGGAGGCAGCAGUGGGGAAUUUUGGACAAUGGGCGCAAGCCUGAUCCAGCCAUGCCGCGUGCAGGAUGAAGGCCUUCGGGUUGUAAACUGCUUUUGUACGGAACGAAAAGCCUUCUUUUAAUACAGGAGGGUCAUGACGGUACCGCAAGAAUAAGCACCGGCUAACUACGUG
Molecule: ribosomal RNA, 482 nt
Filed under: uncultured bacterium
Lineage: Bacteria
Description: partial 16S ribosomal RNA
Rfam family: Bacterial small subunit ribosomal RNA
Source: RNAcentral